This 66-nucleotide non-coding RNA is filed under the name Micromonospora costi. RNAcentral's name for it is "partial 16S ribosomal RNA". It matches the Rfam family "Bacterial small subunit ribosomal RNA", at positions 1 to 66 of the family's 1533-position model. Lineage: Bacteria; Bacillati; Actinomycetota; Actinomycetes; Micromonosporales; Micromonosporaceae. The record is from RNAcentral. RNAcentral also lists the same sequence under 4 other names.
UUGUUGGAGAGUUUGAUCCUGGCUCAGGACGAACGCUGGCGGCGUGCUUAACACAUGCAAGUCGAG